Lolium perenne is the source of this 3441-nucleotide non-coding RNA. The record is from RefSeq and is a predicted model, not a curated record. NCBI's taxonomy places the organism in Eukaryota, Viridiplantae, Streptophyta, Magnoliopsida, Poales, Poaceae.
UCAAACUCUUCCUUUUGGUUGCUUUUUCCGAUCUUUUCUCUUUUUCUUGUUCAGCCCUGCGCUUAAGCUCUCCAAGAGCGCCAGCGGCACGAAGCCGGAAGGCUCUAAGAGAACCGCAAGGACCUCAACUCCUCCUCCUCAGUCUAGCCCGGUACCAUCUGGUACCGGCAACUCUUCUGCCUCCCCUCUGGGAGGCACCUCAAGUGCGGGGCGCGCGGCCCCUACACCUCCUGAACACCGCGCGGAGGAGGACCUCAUCUCCCCUCCAGAAAAACAAGAUACCGGCGCCAGCAACAUCGGUGCCGAUGCAGAAGCUGCCGGGCGGGCGGAACCUCUGGUUCCUCCCGUCCCGAAAAGAAAGAAGAAGAAGAGCUCGCACUCUUCCCCCUCCAAGGCCGCACCGGACUCUUCCGCGCCGGCAAGCUCUACCUUGGGGCAGGGCGUACCAUCGCCUCCCAAGACCUCGCCCGCGCCUCCGCCGGAAGCUCCGAAAGUCGAGCUAAGCGGGGCCACUCCAACGCCGCCGCCAGAAACCCUCAAGAUCACCAAGUUCCUCAAGCCGGAGGCUUUCAAAGGAAAGGCCACGGCUUCCGGCACUUCACCCGCCGGCCCGCAGUCCUUGGUGCUGCACGUCGGCCCCGCCGCGGCUGGAGAAAAGCCUUCCGGCAUCCUGGGCUGGAUCACCGAGCUGAAACGCGAAGGCCGCGAUCUGGGGCACUUGCUUCCAUACGCUGAGAAGUGGAAUGCUGCGGACGUGUCUGCAGCUACACGCGGCCUGGGGAAGGACCGGCUUCCGGCGCUAGACCCCUCUGGGCCCCGGUGCACGGAGGAGCACUUCAUCCGGCUGCGCCGCGCGGUGAAGGAGCUGGACAGCGCGUGGUAUGAUGCCACCAACAACAUGGUGGUAAGUUUCACCAAACUCUUUUCAAUUUUUCAAUUCAUGUCGGUCUCAUUCUUUCCGGAUCUUGUCUAUCUUCCCAGUCCCCGAGUUUCGUGUUGAGAGCAUAGCUCUUAGCGCGAAACUUAGGUAAAAACUCGAAAAACCGGCAUAGCCAGUCCCCGAGUUUCGGGUUAAGAACAUAGCUCUUAGCGCGAAACUUAGGUAGAAACUCAAAAAACCGGCAUAGCCAGUCCCCGAGUUUCGGGUUAAGAAUAUAGCUCUUAGCGCGAAGCUUAGUUAACACUCUUUCUUGAACAGAGCACGGCCGACGCCCGGAAGCACCGGGACCUUGCUGAAGCGCACAGCAAGUGCUAAGCUAUCCCGGAAGCUUCCAUCGAAGCCCUCAAGACUCAGCUCGCCGCACUCCAAGGUGAAAAAGAGCAGCUCAUCCGGGAGCACCGCGAGGCUCUGGACGCCCAGGAGACUUACUCCAAGGGGCUGAAGGACCAGCUGAUCCAGCUCGGGCUCAAGCACAAUGAGGCGAUGAAGGCCGCCCAAGCCGCCGCUGAGGCUAAGCUGAACGAAGCUCUGGAGGACGCCAACAACUCCACCGUGGUGCUGCGGGCGGAGCUAGAGGAGGGAGCCAAGGCGCGGAAAGCAGCCGAGGAUCAGGCCGCGCGCUUGGAGGGAGAGCAGAAGGAGUAUGACCAACUGGUCAUGCAGACCGACGCGCUUGCCCUCAGUAAGUUGUCUUCUUUCUUUUCCGGUUUUGCUUAUAAGCUUAUCUCUUCCGGUAGCAUGUACUUAUCUUUUUCUUUUGUCUUGUAAGGCUCUUUCCGGAUUCGCAGGCGUAUGCGGUGAAGAAGGUAGCAGAGCGCCGGAUCGCGCAAGCGUAUAAGAACCUGGAUGCGCCCUGGGACCCUUAUGACCACCUGGUCGCGCUGUCUGCUCGGGUCUCCCACAUGCGCGCGGUGGACCGGAACCUUGCCGACAUCCCCGAUGUGGCGAUCCAGCUCUUUAAGGUGCUUUGGCCUGAGGAGGAGGUGCCGGCUAACUUGUCGCUCACCCCCGAUCGCCUGAAAGGUGCCGGCCGGAGGAUCCGGGAGUGGCAAUGCUCAGCGGCUCGUGCCGGAGCGGAUACGGCGCUACGCGUCGCCUGCUCCUGGUACGAGGACUUGGACCUGGACGCCCUCCUUGGCGUGCGCAAAGAUGCUCCAACCGAUAUGGAUCCGGUCCUCACCGCGAAGCGGCAGGAUCGAGCCUACCGGAUCGCAGAGUACGCCCUGGUCCGCACCUUCAUCCCCCCUCCUCCCGACGUCAAAGACUACCUCAGAGACGAAGAAGGAGAGGAUGAGGAAGAUGAAGAUGCUGGAGCUGGUGAUGCGCCUCCGGAAGCUCCAGAGGCCGGUGUCGUUCCUCCCGAAGCUCCUCCUGCUUAAGUAUCUCCUGUAAUGUGUUUGCCCGUCCUGCUUACUUCAAAACAAUGCUCAUCAAAUUCUACCCCGGUAUACCGGGGUUUUAUGAUGUAAUAUAAAACUUAGCCGUUCUUUUGGUUGUGCUACAACAAUCUAUGCCGGUAUGUUAUACCGGUAGCCUAUUAACUUAUGUUUGUCUAUUGUCUUAGCAUUUUGCUCGUUGUAUUGCUUUUAUCUUGCACUGCAAAGAUUCCGGAAUUGUUUCCGCAUCCAAUUCAAUGCACACUUGGCUCUUUUGCUUUGGCUCUGCCUACCUUCUCUGGGCGUUUUGGCGUAUGAGCACAGAGUUCUUUUACCAAGCAAGCAUUUUCUUGAACUUAGAAAUAACUCGAAAUUUUCACAAAAAACCGGUACAACCGGGGUUAGUUAAAUUUUUCCGGAUUGUUCGUUCCCACUCUCUAUUUUCGCAGUUCACGUGCUUAAUCCCUACCGGUUUAUCUUGCUUGCCAUGAAGCCGGGUUGCGGACAGCAGCAGAGUCGAAGACUCCGGUAGGUUUAGCACGUUACUAAACCGGAAAGAAAAAAUGUUCAACAAGCAACCGGUAAACUGAAAAAAUAAACAUAUUGCAUGCAAUUUCAAUAGGGGUAGUCCCCGAGAUUCAUUCGAGGUCCCGACAUCUUUUAUUCAUAGCAAAUAAGGUACAAAAAGGAACUUCUUACACCACAACUUCAAGAGUAGAAAGGACGCAAUAGAGCUACGUUCCACGGACGCUUGGUCUCCUCUCCGGACCUGUCCGCCUUUCCUUUUUUCCAUUCCUGUGCAUCGAUCAGGUAAUAGGCAUCAUUGUGGAGAGCUUUGCUCACAAUGAAGGGUCCCUCCCAUGGGGGUGAAAGUUUAUGCCGGCCUUCAGUGCGCUGCACUAGGCGCAACACCAGAUCUCCUUCCCGAAAUACUCUCGUGUUAACCUUCCGGCUAUGAUAGCGUCUAAGGUUUUGCUGGUAAAUGGCUGUUCUUGCCAGUGCCAACUCUCUUGCUUCUUCUAGCAAGUCCACAUCGUUUUCUCUGGCCUCUUUUACCUCUUGCUCGGUAUAGAGCUGCACUCUUGGUGAGUCAUGGAGAAUGUCGGUUGGUAUGACCGCUUCUGC